UGAGAUGGAAAGUUAGUAAAUCCUUUUGAGAGGAUUACAUAAUUUUAGGUAGGAAUUUGACAAGAGAGUCGAAUUUUGAGGGCUUCUACAAGUGACAAGGGGUCAGGCUGGGAACAUGGAUGCCCUAGGUUCAAUUCCAACAAGGGGAAAAAUGCUACCUAUCAAAAUAGAGGAAAGCAAAAGAAAAAAGAAAAAGAGUAAGACAAGACUUAGAAUAAAUAUUAAUGCUAUGAUUGGUUUUAGGAAAGUACUAAGGGAAUAAAAAAAAAUGGUAAGGAAAAUGGCCUUCUUAUGUUUGGUUUUACUUUGGAAAAAAAAAUAUAUAUAUACAUACAUAUAUAUAUAUAUACUUAAAAUUAGUUGGAAACUUAUGUAUUUUCAAAUUAUUUAAUUUUUAUAUAGAAGAGUUAAAUGUCUGUUUGGAUAUGCUUCCUAUCUUCUAUUUUUAAAAUUAGAAAACAGUAGUAACUUUAAAUAAGAUACAAGAACUCUUAGAAACUUACAUCGAAAGAGUAACAAUUUUAAAAACUGUUCAAAAAAAUUAAGAUAUCAAAAACUUUUUUCUACCUUAAAUUUUAAAAUUUUCUAAAAAUGAUUUUUAAAGACAUCAAUUAAAUAUAUACUUUUUGUAUAAGAUGUUCUACUUUUAUAUAUAGGUUUCUAAUUUUCAAAAUAAAAACAAGAAGCAUAUCUAAACAGACACUAAAUAAGUGAGAUGAAUUUAAACUAGUAUAUAAAAUAAUUUAUUCACUUUAAAUCGAUUUUUUUUAUUUUCCUUCAUUUUUUUAUUUUUUUUUCCUUAUGCUUUUCCUCUCUAUUUCCUUUCUCUCGCAUUUUCCAUCAAAUGUUUCCGAAACAAAACAUAGCCUAAGUGAAAAGGAAAUCAUCGACUUUACGCCCAAGGCAAGCACAUUGCAAAUGAACUCUAUAGGGAAUAUACUCCAAAACACAAUGUCUAGACAACUGGCCCUGAUUCUAGAUUGUUAACAAUGUCAACUCAAAAUCUAGUUCCUCUCCACAACUCCAUAGAGAAAACUACCCACAUAAUGUUUUGGAAUCAAUUCUGAUACAAUGCAGCCAAUUAAUGAACACCAAAAGAAAACAGGUCAAAAAUUGGGUUUAAUUAAAACAACCUCAAUUUGAAAAAUCCACAACUCAAAAAUUACGACUUCUUAACUUAAAUUCUAUCCAAACACUUACAUUGAUGAGUUCAAAUAAUAGAAGCGCUCGCAACAAACCGCUCUAUGCAGAGAUAUGCACAAAACAAAUUUUCAAACAAAACAAAUGCAAUUUCAGACACAACAGCAUUUUAAAUCAAAAGCCAUGUCUGAAACAGAUGGUAGAAACAAUACAAAUAAGUUAAGAUGAAGACAACACAUUCAAGAUUAGGGUUCUUGCAGCAAUCAAAUUGUAGCAAAGAUAUAGAGAAAUUGAAAACAAAAAUUCGAAUUCAGAGUUAGGGGUUUUAGAGAUAGAGAGAAAAACCUGGUUAAUGAAUGGAGAGGAAACCCUAGAGGAUCAUUUGACGAGGUAUUCCGUAGAGGGGAGAAACGAUCGCCGGAAGGAGGGGUUCGGAGUGUUUCUGUUUUUGCUUUUUCUCCCUUUUUUGCUUCCGAAAGCGACUUUUUUGUUUUUUCUGUUUUCUGAGAGUAGUGUAAACCGACGUCGUUUUGAGUUUUAGAAAUAGCACGGAGGCUGCAGCCAUGCUAAACGACACCGUUGGAAAUUCAAUUCUUCCAUUUCAACUCACACGUUCGUCGUCGCUGAAACGACGUCGUUCUUCUCAUCAUUUCGUGUUGUGCAACAAUCCCGCUAAAUUAUUCGAAAUUUUUUGGAGGCUUCUACUUAAAAAACCUAGAAGUGAUAAACGUCUUAGGAUUAUUUUUUUUAUUUUGAAAAAAAAAUUAUAAAAUUAAUUUUAAAAUAUGAUUAACUCAUUAUUAAUAGAAGGUUAAUAGUAAAAUAAAAAGUGAGUUACAAAAAUGAUAAAUUGUCAGAACUUGAAAACGGAAUAGAGCAAAUUGAGAAGAAAUCAAUACAAAAUAAGCGACAGUGAUCCCAAAGUGGAGUUAAAGUACCAUGGAUAAUCACGGAUGCAACCCUUAAAAGAUGUUUUCAAAAACUUUUAAAGGGUUAAAAACCAGACUAAUUGGAGUGUAAUAUUAUUGUUGUGCACAAUUGAACCAUUAGACCAUUUUCUAUAGAGGCCUAAGCUAGAACAUUAUCGGUUGAUUUGAUCUAACCAAUGGAAAGUCUCAAUAGAUUUAUGUCUAUCAACCAUUAUAUUAACACUCCAUACUCAUUGUGACAUAUGAUAUUCGAUAAUUAUUGGUCCAUUUAUAGUAAUAUGUCAUUGUUAUCUUAAUUUGAUCAAAAAGAGUUCAAUGCACACUAAACCCGUUUUGCAUCAAGGAGCCUUUAGUUACAUCAAUAAAAUAAGAUCUUAAACCUAUCAUAAGAGGUAGGAGGAUCAAACCCAUUGUCAAUGUGCACCAAGUUUGUAUAAGACCCGCUUAAACCUAAACCUAAAUCUUAACUAAAUGAGGUGUCUUCAAGUGGGUAUGGAAACAAAGUGAGAAUGGAAAUGGAGAAAAACAAUGGAGGAAUUAACAUCACAUCAAAAGAGGUGCAUACCAAGAUCAACCCUAUGAAUGAUAAGGUUCUCACAACAUCAUCACUACAAAGAGGUAAGGUUGAUACUACAAGUGCAAAAGGUACAAUCAUAACCACCUUGCAAUCAAAUUGAUGCAACCUUAUUAAAAAAUCAAGAGGAUAAGAACCUUAUAAAUGUUUGGAAAGAGUCUUUAAAAGUAAGACACGUAGUAACAAAGUUAUACUUGAGUUUUGAUUAUUCUAUCCAUUACUUGCAUUAAUAUUUACUUGAGAAUUGAAUUUGCAUCACUUGUAUUAUACAUGACUUCAGUGCACUAGAAAUUAUACGAAAAAUCCAAGUUAUGAGUUUCUUGCAAGUUGAUAACUUGUUCACCUAUAGUGAAUCAUGAUAUUCAGUAUUGAAUAAUCAUAAUUCAUUAAACUACUAUGCUACAUGGGCUCUCAAUCUUAAAAUAAUAUUGAGUUAGUGUUAAAGUCUUCAGUGGUUGAGACCUUAAGGUAGUCAUAUAUUCCCUAUAGAUUAGGUCAUUAUUAAUUAAGAUAGAUGAUAACAAGUAUUUUCAAGAUAGGCACCACAAUAUCCCUUAGGUUUGAGACAAUGUGUCAUAAAGGAUGAUCUUAAGGAUAUGUAAUUACGAAAUUUAUGAUCAUAAUAAUUCUUUAAGUGGAGUUUAACAUGUGCUUUUAAAGAGUUAUAAUAUAUCAAUUGAUCACAUAAUAGGAGGAUCUAAGACUAAGGAUGAUAGUAGUAAGCUCGAGAGGUUUAUAGUGUUCACAUUGUUAAAUUACGAACACCAAUUCAUAAGGAGUUUACAUGCAAUCGUUAGUAAGUCAUAGAUUUGAGUAUUCUAUCACGAUUUAAUAUCAUAGGACAUUAGAGUGCAAUUGACUCUCCUUAAUGGGAUUUUAAGUCAACUUGAGAAUUGGAUUUUGAGAGAGGCUUUGUUUUUUUGUGUCCUAAUGGUUCUAGUUUGAACUCAUAUUCAUAAGCGGCACAUCACUUAAAGGGAUAUUUGAGUUUUUUAUUUAUAUGUGUGUAUGAGGUCAUAUUGGUAAAUACAUAAAGUUGCACAAGAGCUUGUGAAAUGGGUUAUUUAAUUAAUUAGAGUUUAAUAGAGUUAAUUAAAUUAAGAUCUAAAUAGGUUGGAUAAAGUUAUUCAAGCUCAAAAUGGGCUAAGGUAAACUUAUAUAACCUUUUUUAGGCCUUCAAGAUAUCUUGACUAUUCUAUCAUCAAGAGAGAAACCUUAGCUCCCACUCAUUUAAAAGGAUUCCACCAUCCUUAAGUGCCUAAAUCAAGAAAAAAGAGUCAUUGGACCAAGGAUCUUUUGGUUUUCAAGAUUCGCAUCACAUUUGACAAAUUUUUGAAUUAAAAUGGUUUUUUUUUUUUUUUUUUUUUUUGGAAAACUUGUUUUAAAACCUUUUUUUUUUUUUAAGAAUAAAUGUGAGGUAUUUUAAGAAACAAUUAAAAAUAUGAAGACUACUUUUGAAACUUCUGCAUCAUAUGUAAGUACAUAGUACUUUUCACAGUGAAUUAAUUAAGAAAAAAGUUUUGAAUAUUUGAGUUUUUAAAUAGAAUUUUAUUAUUAAAAACAAUUGAGAAUUUUCUUUUGUGAGUUAUUUGUAAAAUUUGUUUUCAAAAACAUUCUCAAACAAACCUUUAGUAUACUACUUAGUAGUUUGUUUGCAUCCAUCACAAAUAAGAAUCUAUGAUGUGGGUGUCUACUAAGUGGGUAGGUAUCUAUGCCAAGCAUGACUUCAAACUUAAGCAUUGAGAUAUAUUAAUGAAACAGGUGCAUUUAAUGAUUCAAGACACAAAAAAGGCAGACUCAUUCAUCUGAGAGUAAAUGGCUAAACCCUCGAACUUAUCUCAUAUGAAAGAGUUUUCAAUCAAUAGACCCUCCUUUUUUUUGAGAAUUGAUUAUUCAUAUUGUAAAACUAAGAUGACUCAAUUUCUAAAAUCAAUUGAUAACAAUUUAUAGGAAGUCAUCAAAACCGGAUUACAUAUUCCAACUAAAAUUGAAAAUGAAGUGACCAUUUCAAAACCUAGUAAAAAAAUGGGAUAAGCUUGACAAAAGAAAAACUCGAUUGAAUGACAAAGUCAUGUACCAUUUACAUUGUACAAUAGAUGUAAAUAAAUAUAAUCAUAUUUAACAAUGUGAAUCCAUUAAGGAUAUUUAGAGGCUUUUAAAAAUUACUAAUGGAAGUACCAAUCAAGUUAAAGAGUUUACAAUUAAUAUUCUUUUACAUAGUUAUGAACCCUUUUAAUACAAAAGAUAAUAAAACAAUUGUUGAGAUGUUUAUUAGAUUUACAGACAUUAUAAACUACCUUUAAUCAUUGGGGAAAAUCUAUACCGAACCUUAAAAGGUAAUGAAGAUCUUAAGGUCUUCUUCUUAAGUAAUGAAAAGCAAAAGUGACAAUAAUUCAAGACGCUAAAAAUCCCACUGAACUCUUAGUUGAAGAGUUGAUUGGCCCGUUGAUGACACAUGAAAUUACCACACAAAGUCAUCAAAAAGUCGAUGACUAAAGGAAGAGGAGUAUUGUCUUGAAGUCUAAACCCGUGAAAAUGAAGAUGAUAAGCAAAACGAAGAAGAUGAAGAUCUUGCACUCAUAGAAAAAAAAGUUUAAGAAGACUAUAAAGUGUUAAGAAGAAUAAGGGAAAUGUCACAAGAAAGAAUCUUUCACCAAUUGUGAAAGAGAAAAAUGACCCAAAUGGCUAUAAAUGUAAGAAAGUGACAUAGUAUGGAAAUUUAAAUGAAAAUUAAAAAUUAAAAAAAUCAGUUAUAAAGUUUUUGAUAUUAUGUUAUAUAAUAAAAAACAAUUUUUAAAAAGAAAUCAUUUCAAAUGUACUUCUAAAACUAUGAGAAGUUCGACAUAUUUUUUAAAAUUUUAAAAAUCACUUGAAAUGAUUCUUGAAAUGACUCUUCGACAAUCCCUUGAUAACUCUUCGAAGAUCCUUGAUAGAUGAGUUUCCCAAAAAUAAUUGUUUUGUUAUGUAAUGCAUUAUCAAAAAUACAAUUAAAAUAUGUUUUAUUAAAAAAAUUAUAUCCAAACAAAUCUCUUGAAAAACAUUUCCAAUGGAAAUGUUACCAACAAAAAAGUACUAUAACUAAACACGAUUUAACUUAAAUCAUUCUCAAAUGGGCUCUUAAUGAUCUUUGAAACAAUCACCUAUAAUUAUAAUGUUUUCAGGACUUGACCGAUCAUUUAACCAGAAAAGUUAUCGGUUCACAGUUCACUGGUCAAACUAGCGAUCAAACCGGUGAUAUUAUAAAUAUAUAAUUUAAAAAUUAUUAAAAUUUAAAAUAAUUAUAAAAAUAAAAAUAAAAAUUUAUAUAUUAUUUAAAAAUUAAAAGUUUAUUUGAAAAUCAAAAAAUUAGUUUCAAAUUUAAAUUUUAAAUUAAAAUAAUAAUUUUAAUUUAAAAUUUUAAAAUUAAUUUUUAAAUAAAAAAACUUAUUUUAAAAUAAAAAAUUUAUUUAAAAUGGUAAUGUUUUUAACUUUUCAUUAAUUUAAAUUAAAAUCAUAAGUUUUAAACACCAUGAAAUAAAAUAAUAAUAAAUAUAAGAGAAAAUCAAUAAUAGUGAGAUGAGGUAAAAAAUAAUUAAAAAAAAAAAUCUAGAAGAAGAGAGGAGAGGGACGAGCAAAAAAGGAAACAACUUUUCCAACGUGGGGUGGGUUUCUACAUGCAAAAACUUUUCCAACGUGGGAUGGGUUUCUACGGGCAAAAAGAGGAAGCUUUUCGAAUGAAACCAUCCGGCUCGCCAAUCAAUCCACCGAUUUAACCAAUCCAAAUGAUCAGACCGAAAUCGUGACAGGUCAACGGUCAGACCAUCCAAUCCGAUCCAGUUUUUAAAACCAUGCCUAUAAAAUGAUUAUGUAAGAAUAACCUUAAUAAUUCUCUAGAUUUUUAAAAGUGAUUUAAACCAUCCGGUUCGAUCCGGUUUUUAAAACCAUGCCUAUAAAAUGAUUAUGUAAGAAUAACCUUAAUAAUUCUCAAGAUUUUUAAAAGCGAUUUUUUAAAUUUUAUCAAAUGCCUAAUUUCUAUAAAGUAACGCUUCUAAUAAUUAAGAAGUGCUUCCACUCCUCUCAAAAUCUUUGCCAAACAUGAACAAAUUCUUCAAUCAUCAUAUAAGCUUCUAUCGUAUUAUAUGAAAUGAAAUCUGUCUGCACCUGUCUUGAAUGGGAGUUUUAACUUCAACCCUUUCACAAACCACCUGCACAAGCCAUUCCGUUCAACCUACUAGCUAAAUUAAUCCCAUGACGCUACUCACCAGCCUCUCAAAUCCCGGUCUUCGUACACUCGAGUUCUAAGCUACCCCAAAAACCACUCCCAGCUAGUAACCUUAACACUGAGGAAAGUACUGACGGUAUUGAACAAAAAAAAUCUCCCAAACAAGCAAAAACCAAUUAAUCAAAAGACACAAGUUCGAAAAAGAACCACACAUCCAAGAAUAUGACAGUUCAUUGUUGUCACUGAUCUUGAAACAACAGAUUCUUACAGAUCAAUCAUCAAACAAUCUCAGUUGAACAAUUCCAGCAAGAGCCACCCCACCUAUAUACGUAAUAUUACAUGAUCAAGCACAAUUACAUUGUCUAUCGAAGAUCCAAACAGGUUCCAGAGAAAUUGAUAGCAGUAUUUCAAUUACAAACAUAUAAAACAAAGCUCAAUUACCACUACCACCACCACCACCAAAGAGGUAACCCAAGGAUGAUCCACCACCUGGAGCAGCAUGGACCUUAGUUGAGGGACGAUCCUGCAAACCAGGAAGGAAGUUUACCUUUCAUAAUGGGACAUACGUGACUGAAUGAGUGAUAAUCAAACAAAUUUAAGCAUUGAAAUGAUAAGCAAUUGAAAAUAACUAAACUUUCAGGGCAUGUCUGUUGUGCACAUCUCCAAGGAAAAUCUUAGCAGCCUAUUUCAAUUGUAAUCAUUUUUUAGGAUUGAAAACUUAGAUAUAAUUUCUAUUUUUUUGAGAGGCAAACUUAAAUGUAAUCUUGAACAAACAAUUCUCUUCCAACCACCAGAAUGCCUUCAUUCUAGCACAAAAUCAAGAUGAUAACCGCUUUCUUACAGAAUUGCCUAAAAAUAAAUUGCUUGACAUUUAUUUUAGAGACAUUAUCUAGGACUAGUCAAAAAAGAAAAAAAAAAUGAUACUCAUUAGGGUAGCCCAGUUGGUCAGGGGGAAUACUGGAAAGUGUGGUCCCAGUAAGUAGCAUAUGGUCCUAGAUUGAGGUUUGGGUUCCUAUGAAAAGUCCUAAGGGCUCGGCCAUGGAAGGUUCCUUGGUUAUCAGAAAAAAAAAAAAAAGAUAUCUACGAAUAGGACAAUCUUCCCCAUCGAUUUUUGCAAGUAAUUUCUCAUUCAUCAACCAAGCACCGGCAGCAACUAGUUAUUUCAUAUUCAUGGGUGUGCAACUUAUAGCAUCUCCAUCUCUAUAUGAAUCAUGGUUGCCAUAUGGAACAGAAAAUAAAUUCAAACUAUCAUAUAUUUAGAUGCCUUGAAUAGUUUGCAUUCAAUAUCCAAUUAAUCCAAAGUAAUCAUUUAUCUUAUUUUAAAUCUUUAAUGAACACUAGAUACAAUGCAUAGGGUCCUUGCAGCAAGAAAAUCAAAGAUUAAAACAUCAAACACCAGUGGGAGGCAAUUACACACAGCACUUGAAUCACCAACUGGGACUUAAAGUGAUUUUGUUCACCAAAAGCUUCAAGAUAAUAUACAAAACAAAGGCCUACAUUUUGAUAAGCAGUCGAUAUCAAAACAAAAAGAAACGAGAAGGAAAGACAAAAUCUCAAGGCUUCUUAAUAACAAAGAUCACUCCUUGCUUAACAUAUUCGAAAUAUCAUAAAUUAAACAAGAUCACUUCCAACUGAUGCCACAUGCCUGA
This 8493-nucleotide long non-coding RNA is filed under the name Vitis vinifera (wine grape). Its description in RNAcentral is "long non-coding RNA (VVIN_LNC005580)". The record is from RNAcentral. Lineage: Eukaryota; Viridiplantae; Streptophyta; Magnoliopsida; Vitales; Vitaceae.